AACGAACGCUGGCGGCAUGCCUAACACAUGCAAGUCGAACGAUUGCCUUCGGGUGAUGGUGGCGCACGGGUGCGUAACGCGGGGGAAUCUGCGCUUAGGUUCGGAAUAACAGCUGGAAACGGCUGCUAAUACCGGAGGAUAUCGCGAGAUCAAAGAUUUAUCGCCUGAGGGUGAGCCCGCGUUGGAUUAGGGAGUGGGUGGGGUAAAGGCCUACCAAGCCGACGAUCCAGAGCUGGUCUGAGAGGAUGAUCAGCCACACUGGGACUGAGACACGGCCCAGACUCCUACGCGAGGGAGCAGUAUGUAAUAUUGUACAAUGGGCGCAAGCCUGGUCCAGCAAUGCCGCGUGAGUGAUGAAGGCCCUAGGGUUGUAAAGCUCUUUUACCCGGGAAGAUAAUGACUGUACCGGGUGAAUAAGCCCCGGCUAACUCCGUG
Molecule: ribosomal RNA, 435 nt
Filed under: uncultured bacterium
Lineage: Bacteria
Description: partial 16S ribosomal RNA
Rfam family: Bacterial small subunit ribosomal RNA
Source: RNAcentral